This 3204-nucleotide ribosomal RNA is filed under the name Entomortierella parvispora. Its description in RNAcentral is "large subunit ribosomal RNA". It matches the Rfam family "Bacterial large subunit ribosomal RNA". The record is from RNAcentral. Lineage: Eukaryota; Fungi; Mortierellomycota; Mortierellomycetes; Mortierellales; Mortierellaceae.
AUGAUAUGUAAAAUAAUUUUCAAGAUAAUAAAGAGAUUAAUUGAGGAUGACUAGCCAAUGAUUAUAAAGGAGGUAUAAAUACCAAAUAUCCUAGCUAAUAAUUUCAAGCUUAGCUAAAUCUAGGAUUAUCCUAUGGGAAACCAAAAAUUUUUAAAUAAAUAAAUAACCUUAUGAACUGAAACAUCUAAGUAAUAAGAGGAAAAAAAAUCAACUGAGAUUCUGCUAGUAGUGGUGAGCGAAAACAGAUAAGCCUGCCGGCAUAAAGCUGGCUAUAAUAUAUAAUUUAAUUAUGAAUAAUUAAUUUCUUCCCCGGUAUUAUAUAAAUGCUUUGGGAUUAAUGAAAUUUCUGGAAGUGAGAUAUACCAAAGAGGGUGAUAGUCCCGUAAUAAUUAAAUUAUAAUUUGUUCAUUCGUUACUUUUGUAAUGGAUAGUAAUAACAAAUAAUUAUGCUUAAAGCAUAAUUUAUAUAAAAAAAGUAAGAUGGAAGAUAAUCUGUCUGAAUAAGGGGAACCAUCCUCUAAGGCUAAAUAUGAAUCAUUGAGCGAUAGUGAAUAGUACCGUGAGGGAAACGUUGAAAAGCAAGUAGAUAACUGGUGAAAUAGAUCCUGAAUCAAUAAUCUUAUAAGCAGUCGGAGUAUGAAAAAAAUAAAAUAGUAUGACGACGUACCUUUUGCAUCAUGGGUCAGCGAGUUUAUAGGUAGUGCAAGUAAAUUUAAUGAAAUAAGAAAUUUCUUAUAAUAAUUAAAUACUUAGUGAAAGCGAUCAUAAAUUAUUUAUUAAUAUAUGAGGAAAGUACUAUAUAUAAGACCCGAAACCAGGUGAUCUUACCAUGGCCAGGUGUAAGACCGAACCAACUACUGUUGCAAUAGUACUGGAUGAGCUGUGGUAGGGAGUGAAAGGCUAAUCUUACCUGGAGAUAGCUGGUAUUCUGCGAAACCUAUUUAGGUAGGAUCUAUAUUUGAAUUAUAGCAAGUAGUGCUCUGCUUUUAGCAAUCCAUUUGUUAUUAUGAUAAAUGGGAUUGCAUUAAAAAUGCAAUUUAUAUUUAAUGGGGGGAUUAUUAUGAUUCUAUCCACUGAAGGCAAUCAAACCAAUGGUUAUAAAUUCAAGAUAUAGGGUCAGACUAUGGGUGCUAAGGCCGAUAGUCGAAUGGGGAAGAGCCCAGAAUAGUAACUAAGGUCCCUAAAUAAAUACUAAGUGAAUAUAAGGUAGUGUUGUAUAGAAAACAUCCAUUAUGUAGGCUUGGAGGCAGCAAUCAUUUAGAGAAAGCGUAAAUGCUCAAUGGUCUUUUUAAUAUAUGAUGCACCAAUAAUUUAACGGGUCUAAAGUAUUUUACCGAUGUUCUAUCUGCAAAAUAAUAUUAAUAAUUUACCUAGCCUUCGGGAUAGGCCUUUUUGUUUAUCAAAUAAGGUGGUUCCUAGUGAACUGUUAUAAAAAUUUGCUGGGUAGCAGAACAUACUAUAAAUGGAAUGAAGGGUAUUUUUUAAUUACCUUGACAUAAUAGUAGAGAUUAUGCUGACAUGAGUAACGCAAAAGCAUUAAAAUAUGCUUCACCGAAUGCCUAAGGGUUCCAUAGAAAAAUUAAAUUGCUAUGGGUUAAACGGUCUCUAAGAAUAUAAGCGAAAGCUUUGAUUGAUGAGGAAUUUAUUAUAAAUAUAUUUAAUAAAAAGUAAAUUAAUUAAAAAUUGAUUUAUUUUUUUUAUUUAUACAGGAAAAAAUAAUAUAAAAUAUACCGUACUCUAAACCGACACUGGUAGGCAGGUAGAAUAUACUAAGGUGUUGAGAGAACUCUCCUGAAGGAACUAGGCAAAAUAACUCUGUAAUUUCGAAAGAAAGAGUGGCUAUUAAAUUGUAUAAUUUGAUAGCUGGCACAUAAAUGUGAGGUACGACUGUUUACUAAAAACACAGCACUUUGCCAACAUAAUAAUGGAUGUAUAAAGUGUGAUACCUGCUCAAUGCCAAACGUAUAAAUUUUUUGGUUUCACGAUCAAAAAUUAAACAUUGGUCAAUAGCGGCUGUAACUAUGACAGUCCUAAGGUAGCGAAAUACCUAGUCGGAUAAUUGCCGACGUGCAUGAAUGGUUUAACGAUACUUCAACUGUCUCCAGGAGAGACUCAGUGAAAUUGAACUAACCGUGAUGAUGCGGUUUACCUACAGCUAGACACGAAGACCCUAUGAAGCUUUACUGUAGUUAAUUAUUGUUAAUUUUAUAUUAAGAUACAGCAAUAAGGUAGUUGAUUAAACAAAACUGAGAGCCCUUAACUUAAUAUAAAAUUAACUAAGAUAAUAUUCAAUCUUUAUAUAGCUUCUUUCUUGUACCUUUUAGGUAAAGGUUUUGAAGGUUUUUGACUUUCAGAAUCUUAUAGGCUGAAAUAUAUAAAGUAUCUUGAAUAUUCUUCCCCCUCCUGCGGAGGGGGACCUGGAAAAUUUUAUAAAAUAAUAGCUUCUCUAUUAGGAGGAGAUCUGUCUUUCGGGACAGAUAAAAUAUUAAUUUAUAAAGGUACCCCAAAGGGAAAAUGAUUAAUUGGCAGUUUACCUGGGGCGGGAUUCUCAUAAAUAGUAUCUGAGAAGUACAAAGGUUUGUUUAAAUUGGAUGGAAACCAAUGGGUUUAUGAUAACCUAAUUAAGCGUAAUGGUAUAAACAAGCUUAACUGUAAGACAAAAAAGUCGAACAGACGCGUAAGCGGGUCAUAGUGAUCCGAUAGUUUCAUUAUGGAAUGGCUAUCGCACAACUGAUAAAAGUUACUCUAGGGAUAACAGGCUAGUCACUGACGAGAGUCCAUAUUGACUCAGUGGUCCGGCACCUCGAUGUCGACUCAUCUUUUCCUGGGGGUUGUAGUUGCUCCCAAGGGUUCGACUGUUCGUCGAGUAAAAAGGUACGUGAGUUGGGUUUAAUACGAUGUGAAUCAGUAUUGAUUAUAUCUACUGUAGGAGUUAGAAUAAGAAUAGCAGUUUAUCUUAGUACGCAAGGACCAGAUUAAGUGCACCUAUGGUUUACCAGUUGUAUAACAUUAUAAUUAAUGAAUGCAUGGCUGGAAAGCUAUGUGCAUAAAUGAUAACUACUGAAAGCAUAUAAGUAGGAAACAGAGCUAUGAAUUAUUCUUUUCCUUACAUUCUUUGGAUGUAAAAGGAAUUAAAUUAGCAAUAGACUAUUGCUUUGAUAGGCUACCCAAUAUUAUAACAAAUAGGGAAGUUAACUUUUUAGU